RNAcentral lists this unclassified non-coding RNA (3444 nucleotides) under Mizuhopecten yessoensis (Yesso scallop). Its description in RNAcentral is "dysbindin protein homolog, transcript variant X1". The record is from RNAcentral. Lineage: Eukaryota; Metazoa; Mollusca; Bivalvia; Pectinida; Pectinidae.
AUUCAAAAUGGCGGCGUUGUGACUGUCGACUGUCGGAAGUAAUCCUGAACAAACCUAGUGGGACUAUACAUGUGUAGAGUACUGAUUGAACGCGAUGUAAAAUGAGUGUCUUUCAGAGCAUCAAAGGGACGUUUGCAGCAGGGUUGAAGUCAAUCACAUCUCGUGACGGUGUUAAGGAGGAGAAGCUGGUGAGAACCGGAGUAAGCUUGGAUGCUGGAGCGGACCUACUGGACAGGUACCAGAACACAUGGAGGAAACUUCACCAGGAUGCAGAGCAGAAUGCUACACAAGCUCAGAAUGUGGAUAGCCAGAUUACACAGUUGUUUGUGACCUAUGACAGACAGUCAGAGAUACUGGGCCAGUUACACUUGGCUGUGGCUGAUCUCCCGGUUAUACUGCACAAACUACAGGAGCUCACGGAUGUACUAGCGUCUUUAGACGAGGAAUAUGACAAUGUAGAGGUAGCCUUGGUUCGUCUGGAGGACAUCUGUGAGGAACAGGAGCUCGCUCAGGCCAAGGUGUAUGACGGUCAGAAACUCGCCAGCUACACCCACAGAAAGAGUGAAGAACUCCAGAAAAUUAAAGUUGAGUUUGCCAAAGAUCAUGCCAAAAAGAUGGAGGGAUAUGAAAAACAUCGCCAGACAAAAUUGAAGGAAAGACAGGAAGUGUUUGAGCAGCAAUUUAACAACGACCUUGACUACUUCAAGUCACAUGGUCGUUUAGAAAGACUGUCCACGAGUAGUAAUGACAGCAGUAAGAAGACAGACCUGGCAGACAUCAGCUGGGAGAUGGAGAACACUAGCUUAGACGAAUUCCUGGAGACGGACACAGUAUCGGGGGAAAGUCACCCACAAACUCCAGGCAAUGAUGAUGCUGAAUUUGAAGAUGAGGUGGAAGAGAUUUCUGAAGAGGAAGAAGAGGAAGAAGACAGUGAGGAGGAGGAAAGAAUAGAUGUGACAUUGCCUCGCAAGGAAAAUAAGCUUAGUGAAUCUGUGGACAAAACAGGAGGAGGGGAGACAACUCUGUCUGGCGAUAAUGUGGAGAGAGACACAGACGCUACGUCAGAACAGACUACUAAAAGUAGUUCAGAGGUUAAUGGGUCAGACGAGACUCGCUCGCCUGCCAAAUCAGCUGAUACAGAUACAAACGGGGUCUAGUACAGAAUACAGAUAAAGUUCAUGUACAACUUAAAGGACUAACAAAACAAUGUUCUUACCUACCAGUACCCUGAAGAUUUCAUGGCCGAUCCCAGUUCUUCAUCUACAGUGCAAGAAUAUUAUAUAAAUACUACUUUCCUUGUUUCUAUAUGUUGCCAUUGUCCAAGCCUCUUAAUCAUAACUAUGAACAACCAAUUAUGAAAACAUGUAUCAAGAACUGUCCUUUCUAAACGUGUCUGAUUCUUCAUACUGUUAAUCACAUGAAAUUUAAUCUGGGAGGGAAAUACUAGAAUGCUGAUUCGAUUGAUGUUUAUUGCCUAACGAAAAUGGUUACAAUAGAAAACAGGAUCUUGUUCUUGCAGAAAUGGCUGUUUCACCAUUUGGUUUCAAUUUAUUUAAAGUGUGCAAUGUACCAAAAUAAACCUCAUAAACUGGACCUAAAGUAAGGUCCCACUGUAUAUGUUUUCAUGAGAAUUGGUCCCGGUUGAUCUGGGAUUUAAAUCCAUAUUGAUAAGAAAGGGUGUAACUGUGUGAUGUAUAGUGUUUUAAUGUUGAGGGGCCAGACUUUCAUGGGUUUUUUUCUAGGAUUUAAAAUCCGUACCACAGAACCAUUAUUUUUUAUUUAUUAAUUUUCAUGUGAACAAUUUCAUUAAGACAAGCGACUAAACCUUACAUUUCAUAACAAUUCAUUACAUUACAAUACAAUAUAGGAUUAUAUACAUGCUUCAAUUCAACAUGAACACUGCUAAACUUGGGAACAUCAGAAAAUGCACUCUGCACCGAUAAACAUUUUUUAAAGAUAUAUAUUUAUUAACAUACCCUCACAUACGGUCAUACCUCCACCUCCAUCGGUGGUUUAAUCAAAUCUAAACAAUAGUUUCAGGAAAAAAUAUGCAAGAAAGAACCAUAAAUUGAUAAUUAAUUCUCUAUCACCAUGGCAACAGAUUGAUACAAUUAAUUCUCUAUCACCAUGGCAACAGAUUGAUACAAUUAAUUCUCUAUCACCAUGGCAACAGAUUGGCAGGGUUUCACAUUCCCUGCCCACUUUGUUUUGUAGGUAUGAAAUACAAUAGAUUGAAGUGCUGUACUUUGAAAUAUGAGAUUACAGGAGAUUGUUGGUAGGUGUGUAAUUUAAUAGGAAAGGUAAUGGACGCAGGCAUUUGAUGCCUCUAUAUCCAUAUCUUAUAAUAAUACAACGUACAUAUAAUAUUAUGUCUCUUCCAGAUGUCUGUUUGUAACUAUAGCCAAAUGAUUAUAUUUAAGCUCUUGGUUUUACCAAUGUUUGUCUAAAUUGAUUUCAAAGUCUCUAAUAAUUGUUGAAUUUAUGACAUAUUCGGGAAGACUGUUCCAAAUAUUGAUAGUUCUGAAACCAAAUGAAUGAAUAUUUCUUACAUCUAGUCUACAGUGUUUUUUCUUCAAUUUCUGUGAGUGCCUUCUCUUUCUUGAUGACGUUUCACAGAUAAAAAUUCCAGAUGUUACUUUUUCAUCGUAGAACUUGUUCAUAAUCUUGUACCCAUUGAUUGUAUCUCCUCUCAGUCUAGGGUAUGUGAGGAAUGGAAAUCCUAAUCUUUCAGACAACCACUGUUUGGUAGGUCCUUUAGCCCAGGUAUCAGUUUCUGUAUCUCCUCUCAGUCUACGGUAUGUGAGGGGAGGGAAUCCCAAUCUAUCAGACAACCACCGUAUGGUAGGUCCUUCAGCCCAGGUAUCAGUUUCUGUAUCUCCUCUCAGUCUACAGUAUGUGAGGGAAGGAAUACUAAUCUUUCAGACAACCACUGUAUAGUAGGUCCUUCAGCCCAGGUAUCGGUUUCUGUAUCUCCUCUCAGUCUACGGUAUGUGAGGGAAUGGAAAUCCUAAUCUUUCAGACAACCACUGUAUGGUAGGUCCUUCAGCCCAGGUAUCAGUUUCUGUAUCUCCUCUCAGUCUACGGUAUGUGAGGGAAUGGAAAUCCUAAUCUUUCAGACAACCACUGUAUGGUAGGUCCUUCAGCCCAGGUAUCAGUUUCUGUAUCUCCUCUCAGUCUACGGUAUGUGAGGGAAUGGAAAUCCUAAUCUUUCAGACAACCACUGUAUGGUAGGUCCUUCAGCCCAGGUAUCAGUUUCGUUGCUCGACUUUCACGAUUGAUUCUAUGUCUUGUUUUGUGUGGAUUCCACACACUUGUAAUGAUAUAGUAUUUAACCUGUGUCCGGUAGCCAUACAAGUGGACCAGGCUACAUCAGAUUGUUAUUAUGAAUACAUUGAAAUAUUCUGCCACGGGACCAUAGCUAUGAUUAAAGGAUACACGUAUGCA